This 52-nucleotide ribosomal RNA is filed under the name Ailuropoda melanoleuca (giant panda). Lineage: Eukaryota; Metazoa; Chordata; Mammalia; Carnivora; Ursidae. The record is from RNAcentral.
UCUCAUCUGAUCUCAGAAGCUAGGCAGAGUAGAUCCUGGUUAGUACUUGGAU